GGCCUAACACAUGCAAGUCGAGCGGUAGCACAGGGAGCUUGCUCCUGGGUGACGAGCGGCGGACGGGGGAGUAAUGUCUGGGAAACUGCCUGAUGGAGGGGGAUAACUACUGGAAACGGGAGCUAAUACCGCAUAAUGUCUACGGACCAAAGUGGGGGACCUUCGGGCCUCAUGCCAUCAGAUGUGCCCAGAUGGGAUUAGCUAGUAGGUGGGGUAAUGGCUCACCUAGGCGACGAUCCCUAGCUGGGCUGAGAGGAUGACCAGCCACACUGGAACUGAGACACGGUCCAGACUCCUACGGGAGGCAGCAGUGGGGAAUAUUGCACAAUGGGCGCAAGCCUGAUGCAGCCCUGCCGCGUGUGUGAAGAAGGCCUUCGGGUUGUAAAGCACUUUCAGCGAGAAGAAAGGGGUCAGUGUUAAUAGCACUGUUCAUUGACGUUACUCGCGGAAGAAGCACCGGGUAACUCCGUGCCACCAGCCGCGGAAAUACGGAGGGUGCAAGCGUUAAUCGGAAUUACUGGGCGUAAAGCGCACGCGGGCGGUUUGUUAAGACAGAUGUGAAAUCCCCGCGCUUAACGUGGGGAACUUGUAUUUGAAACUGGAAGCUAGAGACUUGUAGAGGGGGGUAGAAUUCCAGGUGUAGCGGUGAAAUGCGUAGAGAUCUUGUAGGAAUACCGGUGGCGAAGGCGGCCCCCUGGACAAAGACUGUCGCUCAGGUGCGAAAGCGUGGGGAGCAAACAGGAUUAGAUACCC
This 753-nucleotide ribosomal RNA is filed under the name Serratia liquefaciens. RNAcentral describes it as "bacterial SSU rRNA". It matches the Rfam family "Bacterial small subunit ribosomal RNA", at positions 45 to 787 of the family's 1533-position model. The record is from RNAcentral. Lineage: Bacteria; Pseudomonadati; Pseudomonadota; Gammaproteobacteria; Enterobacterales; Yersiniaceae.